Molecule: long non-coding RNA, 295 nt
Organism: Notothenia coriiceps (black rockcod)
Lineage: Eukaryota; Metazoa; Chordata; Actinopteri; Perciformes; Nototheniidae
Exons: 5
Source: RefSeq, a predicted model, not a curated record
UUUAGGUCCCAAGUGAAUCACAGCCUCUGCAUAAAGAGCUUCUUUGUGAACUAUUUACAGAAGCUCCGUCAGAGCCUGAAAUAUUCUUCUCCCUACAGGAUGAGGCUAUGCAUAAAGAGAAUAACUCGGAUGAAGACGAGACUUCAACUCUUCAUGAAGAUGAGCUUUCUGCUCUUUCCUCUGACGCUGAGCCACAAGCCUCCUCAGCUCCCUGUCCAGAUUUGAUGAACCUGGUUGAGGAGGUGACCUGUCUUGUGGGAGGGAUCCAUCUGACAGAAGUCUGCACAGGUAUCAC